Molecule: ribosomal RNA, 482 nt
Filed under: uncultured bacterium
Lineage: Bacteria
Description: partial 16S ribosomal RNA
Rfam family: Bacterial small subunit ribosomal RNA
Source: RNAcentral
GACGAACGCUGGCGGCGUGCUUAACACAUGCAAGUCGAACGAUGAAGAAGAGCUUGCUCUUCGGAUUAGUGGCGAACGGGUGAGUAACACGUGACUAACCUACCCCUUUCUCUGGGAUAACGCUCCGAAAGGAGUGCUAAUACCGGAUACUCACAUCGAGGCACAUGCCUUGAUGUGGAAAGUUUUUCGGAAAGGGAUGGAGUCGCGGCCUAUCAGCUUGUUGGUGAGGUAACGGCUCACCAAGGCGACGACGGGUAGCCGGCCUGAGAGGGGGACCGGCCACACUGGGACUGAGACACGGCCCAGACUCCUACGGGAGGCAGCAGUGGGGAAUAUUGCACAAUGGGCGAAAGCCUGAUGCAGCGACGUCGCGUGAGGGAUGAAGGUCUUCGGAUUGUAAACCUCUUUCAGUAGGGACGAAGCGAAAGUGACGGUACCUAAAGAAGAAGCACCGGCUAACUACGUGCCAGCAGCCGCGGUAA